Molecule: ribosomal RNA, 215 nt
Filed under: uncultured bacterium
Lineage: Bacteria
Description: partial 16S ribosomal RNA
Rfam family: Bacterial small subunit ribosomal RNA
Source: RNAcentral
CUCAGUUCGGAUCGCAGGCUGCAACCCGCCUGCGUGAAGUCGGAAUCGCUAGUAAUCGCGGAUCAGCAUGCCGCGGUGAAUACGUUCCCGGGCCUUGUACACACCGCCCGUCACACCAUGAGAGUCGGGAACACCCGAAGUCCGUAGCCUAACCGCGAAGGGGGGCGCGGCCGAAGGUGGGUUCGAUAAUUGGGGUGAAGUCGUAACAAGGUACC